UGCUUCUAAGCCACAGUUUGAGCUCUACGGCCGCCUGCUGUUCUCCGGUCCGCCGCUCUCCACCAGAGGGCAGCAUGGAGGCGGGAGGCAGAGGAACAGCAGCAGCAGAAGAAGAACCAGGAAGUACAAUCAAAGCAGAUCAUAAGCAGGUGGUGCGUGAGGCUCUGAGUGAUGACAGGAAGGUGAUGACCAAGAGCUCAGCCGUUGAUUUAGUCACUCAAACUGACCAGAAGGUGGAAAAACUCAUCAUCCAAUCAGUGAAAGAGAAAUUCCCUCAGCACAGGUUCAUAGGGGAGGAGUCCGUAGCGGCAGGUGAGCCGAGCAUCCUGACGGAUGAUCCCACCUGGAUCAUCGAUCCCAUCGACGGAACAACCAACUUCGUUCACGCGUUUCCCUUCGUCGCCAUCUCCAUCGGCUUCACCAUCAACAAGAGGGUGGAGGUGGGCGUGGUCUACAGCUGCCUGGAGGACAAGAUGUUCACCGCCCGGCGGGGCGGGGGCGCAUUCUGCAACGGGGAGCCGCUGCAGGUUUCUGAUCAGACAGAUGUUCACCGUUCCAUCAUCGCCACCGAGUUCGGAUCCAACAGAGACCCAGAAGUCGUGGACAAAAUCUUCAGUAGCCUGAGGAACAUCCUGAGCCUCCCAGUGCACGGGUACUGUAGUACCUCUAGUACCUGUAGUACCUGUAGUACUACAGCUCCUUGUUGCCCCGUGUUGCCUGCAUCUCACCCUGUGUGUCUCCAGGGUGCGCGGCGCCGGCACCGCGGCCGUCAACCUGAGCCUGGUUGCGUCCGGCUGCGUGGAGGCCUACUAUGAGAUGGGGAUGCACGUCUGGGACAUUGCUGCCGGAUCAUUGCUGGUUCUGGAGGCCGGAGGAAUCGUGAUGGAUGUGGACGGUGGUGACGCAGACCUGAUGUCCAGGAGGAUCUUGGCGGCCAACAACCGCAGCGUGGCGCUGAGGCUGGUGGAGCAGAUCGCCCCCUACAGGCCGGACAGAGAUGACGCGCCGCCUGCUGCCUGUGAUUAAAUGGUCCAGCCAGAACAUAGAGUCCGAGUCUUUA
Molecule: RNA transcript, 1060 nt
Organism: Xiphophorus maculatus (southern platyfish)
Lineage: Eukaryota; Metazoa; Chordata; Actinopteri; Cyprinodontiformes; Poeciliidae
Gene: impa1
Gene name: inositol monophosphatase 1-like
Exons: 8
Source: RefSeq, a predicted model, not a curated record